RNAcentral lists this ribosomal RNA (468 nucleotides) under uncultured bacterium. Its description in RNAcentral is "partial 16S ribosomal RNA". It matches the Rfam family "Bacterial small subunit ribosomal RNA", at positions 28 to 507 of the family's 1533-position model. The record is from RNAcentral.
GACGAACGCUGGCGGCGUGCUUAACACAUGCAAGUCGAACGGAAAGGCCCUGCUUUUGUUGGGUGCUCGAGUGGCGAACGGGUAAGUAACCCGUGAGUAACCUGCCCUUGUCUUUGGGAUAACUUCUGGUAACUGGGGCUAAUACCGGAUAGGAGCUCCUGCUGCCUGUUGGGGGUUGGCAAGGUUCGGCGGUUGGGGAUGGACGCGCGGCUUAUCAGCUUGUUGGUGGGGUGGUGGCUUACCAAGGCUUUGACGGGUAGCCGGCAUGAGAGGGUGACCGGCCACAUUGGGACUGAGAUACGGCCCAGACUCCUACGGGAAGCAGCAGUGGGGAAUAUUGCACAAUGGGCGGAAGCCUGAUGCAGAAACGCCGCGUGCGGGAUGACGGCCUUCGGGUUGUAAACCGCUUUCGCCUGUGACGAAGCGUGAGUGACGGUAAUGGGUAAAGAAGCACCGGCUAACUACGUG